RNAcentral lists this ribosomal RNA (870 nucleotides) under Agaricus essettei. Its description in RNAcentral is "eukaryotic LSU rRNA". It matches the Rfam family "Eukaryotic large subunit ribosomal RNA", at positions 64 to 921 of the family's 3401-position model. Lineage: Eukaryota; Fungi; Basidiomycota; Agaricomycetes; Agaricales; Agaricaceae. The record is from RNAcentral.
ACUAACAAGGAUUCCCCUAGUAACUGCGAGUGAAGCGGGAAAAGCUCAAAUUUAAAAUCUGGCGGUCUCUGGCCGUCCGAGUUGUAAUCUAGAGAAGUAAUGCCCGUGCUGGACCGUGUAUAAGUCUCCUGGGAUGGGGCGUCAUAGAGGGUGAGAAUCCCGUCUUUGACACGGACUACCAGUGCAUUGUGGUAUGCUCUCAAAGAGUCGAGUUGUUUGGGAAUGCAGCUCAAAAUGGGUGGUAAAUUCCAUCUAAAGCUAAAUAUUGGCGAGAGACCGAUAGCGAACAAGUACCGUGAGGGAAAGAUGAAAAGAACUUUGGAAAGAGAGUUAAACAGUACGUGAAAUUGCUGAAAGGGAAACGCUUGAAGUCAGUCGCGUUGGCCGGGGAUCAGCCUUGCUUUUGCAUGGUGUACUUUCUGGUUGACGGGUCAGCAUCAAUUUUGACCGCUGGAAAAAGACCUGGGGAAUGUGGCAGCUUCGGCUGUGUUAUAGCCCCUAGUCGCAUACAGUGGUUGGGAUUGAGGAACUCAGCACGCCGCAAGGCCGGGUUUCGACCACGUUCGUGCUUAGGAUGCUGGCAUAAUGGCUUUAAGCGACCCGUCUUGAAACACGGACCAAGGAGUCUAACAUGCCUGCGAGUAUUUGGGUGGAAAACCCAAGUGCGUAAUGAAAGUGAAAGUUGAGAUCCCUGUCGUGGGGAGCAUCGACGCCCGGACCAGAACUUUUGGGACGGAUCCGCGGUGGAGCAUGUAUGUUGGGACCCGAAAGAUGGUGAACUAUGCCUGAAUAGGGUGAAGCCAGAGGAAACUCUGGUGGAGGCUCGUAGCGAUUCUGACGUGCAAAUCGAUCGUCAAAUUUGGGUAUAGG